GACGAACGCUGGCGGCGUGCCUAAUACAUGCAAGUAGAACGCUGAAGGAGGAGCUUGCUUCUCUGGAUGAGUUGCGAACGGGUGAGUAACGCGUAGGUAACCUGCCUGGUAGCGGGGGAUAACUAUCGGAAACGAUAGCUAAUACCGCAUAAUAGUAGAUGUUGCAUGACAUUUGCUUAAAAGGUGCAAUUGCAUCACUACCAGAUGGACCUGCGUUGUAUUAGCUAGUUGGUGAGGUAACGGCUCACCAAGGCGACGAUACAUAGCCGACCUGAGAGGGUGAUCGGCCACACUGGGACUGAGACACGGCCCAGACUCCUACAGGAGGCAGCAGUAGGGAAUCUUCGGCAAUGGACGGAAGUCUGACCGAGCAACGCCGCGUGAGUGAAGAAGGUUUUCGGAUCGUAAAGCUCUGUUGUAAGAGAAGAACGAGUGUGAGAGUGGAAAGUUCACACUGUGACGGUAUCUUACCAGAAAGGGACGGCUAACUACGUG
This 495-nucleotide ribosomal RNA is filed under the name uncultured bacterium. RNAcentral describes it as "partial 16S ribosomal RNA". It matches the Rfam family "Bacterial small subunit ribosomal RNA", at positions 28 to 507 of the family's 1533-position model. The record is from RNAcentral.